GGGGGUGUCAGUUUUGACACAAAGACAGCUUCGUAUGUGCAAGCGGAGCUCCAAGAACUCCUAAAACUCUUGGAAACUUUAAGUGUAGACUCAAUGGUCACACGGGCAAAGUCAGUAAUUUCUCCGUAUUUUACGGCGAAAGACUUUGAGUUCGCAUACGCUCGAGUUUAAUCUCGCGUAACGAACCGAUUAAGUAUCGGCUAUCCGGCAAAGAUACCUUAAUCGCUUAAUCUGUCGGAUUGUAGCCUCGAGAGUGCUCGCCUCGGGACCAAACUUAGAGCUUUGUCUUUUGGAUGUUUUGUCUGAUUUAUAGUCCGAGAGCCGAGAAUUAAAAUCAUUCUAAGCUUGUAGAUUCAUAUGUCGCAUCUUUAUGGACGCGGGCUCGCUCCCGCCACCUCCACCA
RNAcentral lists this transfer-messenger RNA (403 nucleotides) under Candidatus Zambryskiibacteriota bacterium. RNAcentral's name for it is "Candidatus Zambryskibacteria bacterium transfer-messenger RNA". It matches the Rfam family "transfer-messenger RNA". From Rfam's summary of the family: Bacterial tmRNA, also known as 10Sa RNA or SsrA, is named for its dual tRNA and mRNA-like properties. Its role is to liberate the mRNA from a stalled ribosome. To accomplish this part of the tmRNA is used as a reading frame that ends in a translation stop signal. The record is from RNAcentral. Lineage: Bacteria; Candidatus Zambryskiibacteriota.